RNAcentral lists this ribosomal RNA (242 nucleotides) under uncultured archaeon. Its description in RNAcentral is "partial 16S ribosomal RNA". It matches the Rfam family "Bacterial small subunit ribosomal RNA", at positions 524 to 762 of the family's 1533-position model. The record is from RNAcentral.
UACGUAGGGUGCGAGCGUUGUUCGGAAUUACGUGGGACGGUAAAGGGCAUGUAGGCGGCCUGAUAAGCCUGGCGUAGAAAGUCACCGGCUCAACCGGUGGAUUGCGUCGGGAACUGUCGGGCUCGAGUCACGGAGGGGAGUUAGAAUUCCUGGUGUAGGGGUGAAAUCUGUAGAGAUCAGGAAGAAUACCAGUGGCGAAGGCGAACUCCUGGCCGAUGACUGACGCUGAGGUGCGAAAGUGU